GUGAUUCUUUUAAUGCCAUAUU
This 22-nucleotide microRNA is filed under the name Tribolium castaneum (red flour beetle). Its description in RNAcentral is "Tca-Mir-96-P2_3p* (star (passenger))". The record is from RNAcentral. Lineage: Eukaryota; Metazoa; Arthropoda; Insecta; Coleoptera; Tenebrionidae.